GGUCUGGUCUGGUCUGGUCUGGUCUGUUCUGUUCUGGUCUGGUCUGUUCUGUUCAUGGUCUGUUCAUGGUCAUGGUCAUGGUCAGGUCAGGUCAGGUCUGUUCAUGGUCAGGUCAGGUCAGGUCUGUUCAUCAAAAAAAGAAGGCAAAUUUAGCAAGUCCUCCCAGAUAGCACACAUACAUGUGGCCGAUGUCGGCCCCAGAGCGGAACGUCGGGCUCAUAUCUAUAACAUCUAAUAAGGAUCGGCCAGGCAUAGGCGCGUGUCUUCAGUCAGUGCUCUAUUUCCAGCUUGUCGGCUUUGGGUCGGAUCACGACUGCAGGCCGAUGCCGCGCUUAUCUGUUUGCGCGUGACCAUUCAUCUCUGCAACCGACGAGAGAAAUGGCGACUCCGGCGACAUCUGUGGUUUUCAGGAAGCGCGAAAAUCAAAUGAAACCAAAUGAAAUGAUCUUUCAUGGAGUGAACAAAUCUACAACACUGGAGGGGGAAGAGCUGCUGACAGGAGUAACUUUUACUUUAGGAAACUCAGAUGAGAUGUGAUCCCCAGCGUUUGGCGCUGAGAUUCUUCAGGACAAGACCUUGAUGCCAUGAAGAUGCCCAUAACUGACAGGCUUUCCUGUGUAAACCAUCAUAUUUAUCCAAAUGAGGGUCUCUGGGAUCCCCAGCUGAAGGCAUGAAGACAUCAGAUCUUGGCCUGGACAGAUGUACCAACAGUACACCACACCGACCUCUGCUUUUGCAUGGAUGGCUGAUUACUACCAUGUUCUGAGAGGGUAUUACUAUAGCAAAACUGAGCACCUGUGACAGUGGGAUUUCUAGUUGUAAAGAAUAAUCACACAAUGUUUUUUAGAAGUUGCAAACUUUUCUCUCUCUUACAAACACAACAGUUAAACCUUUUCAAAUUAUUUUCUGGUGGUGCACAAGUCCUAUUCUUCGAAACAGAAAUUAAGAUAUUCAUAUGCUCACAUUUAAGCUGCGGACACACGACUUUGAGCAUGCAAAAUUUCUUCAGACACUGUAACUGGCGUGAUAUGACGUCUGCAGAGUCUUUUUAUAAACAUGAAUUAACAAAUAGUAUAUUCAAAAUAUAAAAAUAUACAGUCUACUCGACUUUACUACAUUUUUUUUUUUUUUAAUUUAGCCAAGAGGUCAAAACCUACAUGUAGCGAUUUUGUACUCUUUACACAUAGUCGUGUGAUGUGAAUUCGCAGGUCAGAGUUCCAAACUUUUUGCAUGAGCUUGCGUUUCUGGUCUCCUGCAUUUGUGUGCAUAUGAAUGGAGGUCAGUGGAAUGAAAAGCGUAGUGUGACUGCACCUUUAUUCUGCAGUUGCGGUACACCUGUAUCAAAAGUGUGAAGUCAUGGACAGAUUUUAUUUGUGAACUGAUAUGCGAGAUCUCACAUAUGACACAUCAGUAUGUGACAUCCCACUCAAACACGUGCUCUAUCCAGUGAUAAACAUGUUCUUGUCGUUAUUAAUCAAUCAGUAAUCAACACAGCACCACCCCGAAAUUGCCUUGCACUGUAGAAUUAUGGUUUUGGCAAGAAAUGAAAAAUAGCCAAUUUAUUAUAAAUGCUACUAUUUUACAAUCAAUAUUUAAGACUAUGUUAGAGAGGGAUAGAAGCCAUUUUUAUGGAUGAUAGGAUUUUUUCAUUACAGGUCAUUUAUUUGAAUGAUCAGCAAAAAUUUGAGCCUAUGAAUUUAAUAAUUUGAAUUCGUAGAAUAAGAUUAGUACAAAUUUAACUGUUGUGUUUGUGAGAGAGAAAAGAGAACUCCAAGUUUGCAAAUCCUAAUACAUUUUCUCAGUGACUACUGAAAUAUUCUCUACAAAUUCCACUGUCACAGGUGCUCAGUUUUGCUACAAUAAUACUAUAUAUUAUACAGAACAUGGGCAAUUUGAGACAAUAUUCUGAUUCUCAUUUUACCAAUGGCAAACCACAUCUAUCCUAUUAACAACUAUUCAUUUUGUGUAUAAUCAAUAUCUAAACAAGUGAUAUUUAGUUGUUAACGAGGGAUUGGCUGGACUCUGCUGACCCAAUCAGUAUUUCUCGUCCAAUGGUCAUACUUUACUUUUCCGGUUUCUCUAGUAUUGCAUCCUUCUCAUGGGCAUUUCAUGACUUUUCAGUGUGGGUUAAACCUCUUUUUUGGCCCAUAUGUAUUUUUUUUAAAAAGUAAUUAAUAAUAGUUUUGUCUAUGCUAUUGAAAUUGUGGGUUACAUCUUUGUCACCUUUUCACCCAAGGAGUUUACAUUCCUGAUAAUACAAGAGCGAGGAACUUACAUUUUAAUUACAAAGGAAAACCAGUUAAUCUGCCAUGUUCUUCUGUCCUCCAUUUUCAUGGGUAAGAUUUCUUUAUAAACCAUCUACUCACCCAUAUGUCUUUAUUUUUGUGGAACACAAAAGGAGAGAGUCACUUAGUCUCAGUCACCAUUAGAAAAGAAACUGAUAGUGAAUUGUGACUGAGGCUGUCAGUCUCUUGAUGUUCUGCCUUACAUCUCCUUUAGUGCUCCAAUAAAAAUAACAUGUUUGGUACAAAAGAACAUGACCAGUUUUGUUCAUGAGUAAAUAUUGCUUUUAAUUUUUUAACUUGAGACUGUUUAGCCUGUAAUUUUCUGUAUACCUCUGCGUGUAUCUGAAUGUAAAUGCCUUCUCUAUUUGUCAUAUUGACGGGUUGUAUAUAGGAGGAUGUAUGCCUUAAACAUGCAGGCUAUCUGUAACUGUAUUUUGUAAAUAUUAAAACAAUGUUAACUGAAUGUGAUGUGUGAUUAUUACAUAAACAUGCUCAUUUAUCUAUUAGUAUUAAGUAUUUGAGAUUUUCAAAAACGAAAAUGUGUUAACUGGGUAAAACUUCAGCCCAACUGAAAUCAACAUCGUUUCAGCAUAAGGGAAGCAAACGAUCCGCGUCGAUUUCCCGUUAGUUUUGAAUGGCGUGUCUGACGUUGGUCUUUGAUGUCGUGAGAAACAUCGAUUCUAGGUUGAUUCUGUGUCAGUGUGCUAUCUGGGUGUAGCCUGAAAGGUUCAGCCUAAAUAAAGGCCCUAGAAAGCCCCUGCACAGCGGCCAGUAUUUACAGAUUUGGAUCGUCCACACAUCGGCCGGAGAGCAUUCGCGAUCAGAGGCCGACGCCUCGGCGACAUUUUCCCGAUGAGCAAACGCUCCGUGAGCUACGUCCCGGCGAUGGAACUUUGUCCAUCGAGACAACAUCGGCCCGACGUAUGUGUGUUAUGUGGGCUUUUACCUAACUUAGGAAGAUGAGGGAUUACAUUACUUUGAAAUAAGUUGUGAGGCAUUUUAAUUAUAGAUUAUGGGUUUGCUUUGAUAAUAUUAUUGAACUGUUUUCUGUCAUUUAACUUGCAUUUUGAAAAAAACAAAAAACAAACACACAUAUUCCAGUAGGCUAUUAUUCAAUAUGUGCACCACAGAACAUAUUCUUUUCUCCCACCAAUAAAGAUUUAUUCAUAAAUCUACAAUUACACAAUGGGAUGUUAUGGGGGCUAAAAUUAUGCUUAGAUAAUUUCCUAAUAAAAUAACGAAUAAAUAGUACGACAUUUUUUGAGUGGUCAUGCGCAGUUCUACCUGUAGGUGGAGUCAAUUUGCAACGUAUUCGGAGGGGAGAAGCACAUGGAACAAUCAAUGCAGAGUUCAAUCACAUCACAAUCAGAAGCCUCAAUCAAGAAUUCUUCUCAGUGCUUUAUUAACUUGCAGCUUGAUUUCUGGAAAUUUGUGCAACAAAGAAAGUGGCAGUUGAAAAGAGUUUAUUGCGCAAAUUAAAUCUAUGCACUGUCAUCACUGCUAAGUGCACAGUUCUUCAUGGCCUUCCUCUCAUUCUUGGAGAAGAAACCUCUGAUUUUUUUAAACAUUGCUGACAGGACUGUGAUUGUGACACACCCUUCUUCAGGAUUCUGACUGCGAUAACAGAAGACAGCCAGGAUUCUUCCUCCACAAGAAAUACAUUUGGAGUCUUCAUGCACUGCAUUAUUCUAGACUGAGCCAUUGUCAUGGAUGAACUAGAAAACCUUCCAGGUGCCAUGUGACUAAUUUCUGGACUGAUUUGUGCCAAAUUUGGAGUUUUUCUUUCCCUUGGACACAAUUCUCUGAAACCAAAACUACAUUUACUUAAAACCCUUCUGUUGAUGUAAGCAAAGGCUGUUUGAGAUCGUUAAAGGCUUAGUUCACCCAAAAAUGUAAAUUCUGUCAUCAGUUUUUCACUCUCAUGUUGUUUGACUUUGGUUAGUCUUUCAAACACAAACUUAGAUAUUUUUAAAGAAAACAGGCUGGAAAACUUUUUGGAUCUUUUAAGUUUUGUUUACCUGGACUUUCAGUUGGAGGUACAGAAACCUCUCAGAUUUCAUUAAAAUAAUUUCAUUUAUGUUUUAAAGUCUAACCAAAGUCUUCUGAGUUUGUGACAUCAUGAGGGUGAGUAAAUGAUGAGAGAAUUUAAUUUUUUUUGCGAACUAUUGCUUAGGGCUGGGCGAUAUGGCUGAAAACUGUAUCACGAUAUCAGUGUCUCAUAUUGGACGAUAUCGAUAAUUAUUUAUUUUUUUAUGACCCAUUUAAAAUAAGGACCAGGAGAAAAAUAUAUUACAUUUAAAUAUUUUUAUUUUAAACUUAACCUUCCUCUGAUCAUAAUCCCCUCAGUUAUUAAGACAGAAAUGUCAACAACCAUGGAAAACUACAGCUACAGAUGUUGUUGGUUGAAUACAGCUGUGCUCCAAAGGGUGAGCGCGGCUAAGGUGGUACAUCAAGUUCGUGGUAUUACCAGUCUUGGCGGGGACGACAGUCUUGCAUAAUUUGCAGACGACAUUGGUCUGACUACGGUCAGACUUAUAAUAUCCAAAAAAACUGCCAUACUGGCGAGCUGACUUUUCCUCUUUUAUUUACAAUUUCCUCGCUCGCUGCGGCACUCAUUUUCUGCUUAUCAGUCGCCGGUUACUGAAGAGGAAUCCAGCAGACCAGCACGAGACAACGAUAUGGCGCAACCAAACUUGAUACUGUUACAUGAUUGGCUGUUAUUGGCUGUUGCUAGGUUACCAGAGAGCGAGUGCCUUUGUUAAUGCAACCAAACUUGCUUCGCAGCCUCUGUUUUCUUCCGAUGAAGAAUAAAAAAUAUCGAACGUUUUAUCGAACACAUUUUUUAUUGAUAUCGAUCACGUGUCUAUCGCGAUACAUAUCGUUAUCGUUUUAUCGCCCAGCCCUACUAUUGCUUUAAUCUUGCUGUUGCACUAAAGUCAACAUUCUUUUUAAUUAAAGUGUUAAACUGUCAAAAUUAACAUUGAUUUUUGUUUCAUGGUCAGCUAUUCAGUUUCUUGUCAAAAGACUGUUAGUAUUAUUGGUUUAUUCAUCAGUCAUGAUUUGUAAUGCAUAUUGUUACAUUAAUGAAAAAUGUUUAGAAUUUAGGGGUGCCAGAAUGGCAUUGUUUGGUACAUUGUAGUGUCUGAAGAAAAUUGAUGAGCAAUAAAUAAUGUUUUGCCUGAGA
Long non-coding RNA from Ctenopharyngodon idella (grass carp), 5469 nucleotides. RefSeq lists it as uncharacterized. The record is from RefSeq and is a predicted model, not a curated record. NCBI's taxonomy places the organism in Eukaryota, Metazoa, Chordata, Actinopteri, Cypriniformes, Xenocyprididae. The transcript has 9 exons.